This 773-nucleotide ribosomal RNA is filed under the name uncultured archaeon. Its description in RNAcentral is "bacterial SSU rRNA". It matches the Rfam family "Archaeal small subunit ribosomal RNA", at positions 123 to 878 of the family's 1478-position model. The record is from RNAcentral.
GGAACACCCCCGGGAAACUGGGGCUAAUUCCCAAUAGGCGAAGAACUCUGGAAUGAGUCUCCACCAGAAAGGGCAUCUGCGCUAUGCUCGCAGGUGUCGCCCAAGGAUGGGGCCGCGGCCGAUCAGGUUGUUGGUGAGGUAAUGGCUCACCAAGCCUUUUACCGGUGCGGGCCGUGGGAGCGGGAGCCCGGAGAUGGGCACUGAGACAAGGGCCCAGGCCCUACGGGGCGCAGCAGUCGCGAAAACUUUGCAAUAAGCGAAAGCUUGACAGGGCUAUCCCGAGUGCCAUCCGCUGAGGAAGGCUUUUACCCAGUCUAGAACGCUGGGGGAAUAAGGAGAGGGCAAGUCUGGUGUCAGCCGCCGCGGUAAUACCAGCUCUCCGAGUGGUGUGGAUGUUUAUUGGGCCUAAAGCAUCCGUAGCUGGCUAGGUUAGUCCCCUGUUAAAUCCACCGAAUUAAUCGUUGGAUUGCGGGGGAUACUGCUUGGCUAGGGGACGAGAGAGGCAGACGGUAUUUCCGGGGUAGGGGUGAAAUCCUAUAAUCCCGGGAGGACCACCAGUGGCGAAGGCUGUCUGCUAGAACGCGCCCGACGGUGAGGGAUGAAAGCUGGGGGAGCGAACCGGAUUAGAUACCCGGGUAGUCCCAGCUGUAAACGAUGCAGGCUAGGUGUUUGGACGGCCACGUGCCGUUCUAGUGCCGCAGGGAAGCUGUUAAGCCUGCCGCCUGGGGAGUACGAUCGCAAGAUUGAAACUUAAAGGAAUUGGCGGGGGAGCA